Molecule: ribosomal RNA, 606 nt
Filed under: uncultured bacterium
Lineage: Bacteria
Description: bacterial SSU rRNA
Rfam family: Bacterial small subunit ribosomal RNA
Source: RNAcentral
GAUGGUGGGGUAACGGCUCACCAUGGCGAUGAUGUCUAGGGGUUCUGAGAGGAAGACCCCCCACACUGGGACUGAGACACGGCCCAGACUCCUACGGGAGGCAGCAGUGAGGAAUAUUGGACAAUGGAUGGAAAUCUGAUCCAGCCAUGCCGCGUGCAGGAAGACGGCCCUAUGGGUUGUAAACUGCUUUUAUAUGGGAGCAAUAAGGUUUACGCGUAGACCGAUGAGAGUACCAUAUGAAUAAGCAUCGGCUAACUCCGUGCCAGCAGCCGCGGUAAUACGGAGGAUGCGAGCGUUAUCCGGAUUUAUUGGGUUUAAAGGGUGCGUAGGCGGCCUUGUAAGUCAGCGGUGAAAUUUUGCAGCUUAACUGUAACAGUGCCGUUGAUACUGCGGGGCUAGGAUUUGGUUGCUGUGGGUGGAAUGUGUGGUGUAGCGGUGAAAUGCUUAGAUAUCACACAGAAUAUCGAUUGCGAAGGCAGCUCACAAAGCCAAGAUUGACGCUGAGGCACGAAAGUGUGGGGAUCAAACAGGAUUAGAUACCCUGGUAGUCCACACUGUAAACGAUGAUAACUCGCUGCCGGCGGUACACAGUCGGUAGCCAAGCGA